UGGGGAAUAUUGCACAAUGGGCGCAAGCCUGAUGCAGCCAUGCCGCGUGUAUGAAGAAGGCCUUCGGGUUGUAAAGUACUUUCAGUCGGGAGGAAGGUGGUAAGGUUAAUAACCUUAUCAAUUGACGUUAUCGACAGAAGAAGCACCGGCUAACUCCGUGCCAGCAGCCGCGGUAAUACGGAGGGUGCAAGCGUUAAUCGGAAUUACUGGGCGUAAAGCGCACGCAGGCGGUUGAUUGAGUCAGAUGUGAAAUCCCCGGGCUUAACCCGGGAAUUGCAUCUGAUACUGGUCAGCUAGAGUCUUGUAGAGGGGGGUAGAAGUCCAUGUGUAGCGGUGAAAUGCGUAGAGAUGUGGAGGAAUACCGGUGGCGAAGGCGGCUCCCUGGACAAAGACUGACGCUCAGGUGCGAAAGCGUGGGGAGCAAACAGG
This 429-nucleotide ribosomal RNA is filed under the name Chloroflexota bacterium. RNAcentral's name for it is "Chloroflexi bacterium partial 16S ribosomal RNA". It matches the Rfam family "Bacterial small subunit ribosomal RNA", at positions 355 to 776 of the family's 1533-position model. Lineage: Bacteria; Bacillati; Chloroflexota. The record is from RNAcentral.